UUUCCUGUAGUUUUCUAUGCAUUGAGGGUCAACAUAGAUGGUCUCAUAUUUUCCUCUUCGAGAAGGCCUUUGGUUGUUGAUAACUUCAGAUUUGCAUCAAUUACUAUUGCCCUUGUUGGCACUAUCUUCCUCGGGGCAAAUUUCAUACCUAGCAUUUGGGUUAUUUUCCAGUUCUCUGGAGCAACAGGUGCUGUUUGUAUAGCAUUCAUAUUUCCAGCUGCAAUCACUUUGAGGUGAGUCUGGUCACUGAACUCAUUUAGUUCUGUAAUGGAUUUUUUGGUGGUUUUACUGUUUGCUUUAGAUAUUUAGUGGAAGAGAAGUAAAAAAAAAUUGAAACAUGGUUAUAUAAUCGAGAUUCACAAGGACGACCGAUUUUCUGAAUCAUGUAUGGAAUCUUAUUAUUAAUUGUAAGAUACAUUAGCAAUAAAAAUAUGACAUUUUAAGUAAAUACAAGCAACAUAGCAAACUUAUAAACUAAUAUUUCAUCUACUAAUCUCAAAAUAAUGUAAGAUUCAACUCAUAAAUCAAAUGAUAAAAAAGUGGCUGUUUAUACAUAGUUGUCAGAAAAGAAGUGGCUGGCUAUUCUGAGUUUAGGUAGUGAUUCAUUCUAAUGAAUCAGGACUCAUCAUAAUGAAUCGGACUCAAGAUGAGAUUCAUUUCCAAUAUAGAUAUAGAUAUACAAUAAAGAUUCGUAUCAAAUGGAUUUAAUUUUGUAUCAAAUCAAAAUACGACUCUAUGGAUAGAAAUAAAAGUUUGAUUGAUUUACGUCAUUAUAGGAUUUUGUUCUUUAACUUGCAUCGAGACAAAAUACCUAAAUAAGCAUUCAUGAAGGACGGCAUUAACCUAGUUUAUUUGGUAAAUACUAACUGGAUUUCUAAUUAUCAGAAUCCAUUAUAUAGAAAAACUGCAGAAAAUGGUGAUAGUUGCCUUGUACCAUGUGACACAUCAGCCGCAACAUUGAUUAAAUACCUUUAACGCCCCUCAGACGAAGUUUUCUACGACAUUGAGAUGGCCAUUGACAUAUGGUAGCAGCAUAGAAGGCAGAGAGCAAACCCUAAGGCAAAACCCUAUCAGAGCCCUUUUUCUCUUCCAGGAGGAGGGCCCCCCCCCCACAAUAUUUUAUUUCAAGAAUUCUAAGAUACUUAUCAUUCUCUUAAGUAGUUUUAUAGACGGUUCUCUGUUCAUGCUUUUGCAUAUGAUUAUUCAACUCAACAAUUAUCAUUAAGCAUUUUCUUUUCCUACAGGGAUCGAUACAACAUAGCAACUAAAAAAGACAAGAUUAUGUCUGUCCUUAUGAUAGUGAUGGCGGUUUUUUCAAAUGCUGUGGCUAUAUACAGUGAUGUUUCUGCUUUGAUCAACAAGAAGGAAACUUAAUGUGAGCGAUUCCUUGAUUUGAUAGCUCACAGUACAAGUAUUUCCAUACUUUCAGAUGAAAGGAACAUAAUUUCUGAUGGUUGUAUAAAAUUAUUUUUUUGUGAGGGUCUGAUAGGUUGAUUAAUAUAAACAAAGCUACCAUAUGUGCAUAUAUUCUUCAAAACUGUGUGAUGGCCUGCAACAUGUUCAACGUUGGUUAUAACAGAGUAGAGUUAUAACAUCACAAAUCCGAAGCUGUAUACGGACAUGGUAUGAAAACAAACUCAACCCAACUGUCGACAUGAUUAAAAAAUAAAUGAAAAACACAAUGCUAUAUUUAUCCGACUCCGACUACAUAUUUGUUGCCAAAAUAUCAUAUUUCUUUUGUAACAUGCAAAAGCAUCCCAGAAUAUAGGAUGCAUGUUACUAAAGGGAUGUGCCGGUGGUUGUGAAAGAAUGGUCAAGUUCAAGCAGUUUUGGACAAGACAAAUAAAUUGAAUUAUGGAUUUGAACAUGUGUGGCUUGUUAAUAGAUUGUUUUCUAAAUUUUCCUUGUAAUUGAACUGUUGAUGCACUUCAUAGUAUGGCACAAUUAUAUAUGUUUUCGUUGAUUGGUUGUAAGAAGAGGUUGAAAAGAGAGAAAUAUGUGAAAAUGUAGUAGUUUUGACAUAAAGUGUGGUAUAAGAGAAAGAGGAGAGAAGAAAUAGAAGUGAAUCGAAAGUGAGAAGAGAGUUCACAAAAAUGCUGAAAUUGAUAGGUUGGACACCGUUGGUUUGAACUCUGACUUCUCCUAUUUGUGUGUGAGUUUUUAGUAGAUGUUGUCAUUUUGUCUAGUUAACAAAAGUGACUAGAAAAUUAUAAUUAUAGUUGAAAAGACUUAACUGUCCUUAAUAUUAAACAAUCAACAUACAAUUAUUUUAUAUUUCUUAAUUGAUUCGCUUUGAAUAGUUUGGUAUGUUAAAUUAAUUUUAAAAAAGAACAGCUUUAUCGUAUAAUUAACUUUUAUAUAAAAUAUGUAUUUUUCUUAAUAAAAUAUAAUAUAUUUAAUUUUCUAGUUUUUCGUUUUAAAUAAAUACAACAAUCUUUUCAACAUAAAAUAUAAACAUAAAAUAAUUAAAAAGUCAAAUAUAUUUCUCUACUUCUAUCUUUUCAACCCUUUACUUUCAAUGCCUCUCUUAUGUUUUUUAUGGGACAUAUAUAUAACCAUAACUACAUCCUUCUAUAAAAAAUCCUAUUUUUUAGUACAAAAAUUAUUAUCUACUUUCUAAUUCAAAAUUCAAUGAAAAUAAAAAAUGCAACUGUCCAAACCGCUAUCCUUUAACUUUAAAGAGUUUUGUCAUUUAUUACUAUUCUAUUAGGUUCAAGCGACUAGUUUCGACAGUUGUAUGUAGAAGGUAUUGAUUCACGCAAUAAAAUAAGUUAUCCUUUGACAAAGUUAUCUAUAAAAAAACAUUCCAUUGCAUAAUUGAGAAGGUAUUAUAUUAAUGCGUAUUUCUUUUUUAUUAUAUUUAAUUGACUCACACCAACCAAUGAUAACAACAAAUUAUUGUCUUUUGUCUUCUUUCAUCACUACCACUCAUUUUCUCUUGCUUCUAAUAUAAUAUCUUGGUUUCAUUGGCUUCUAAAUCUAAUACAGUAUUUGGUUUUAUUGACCUUUAAUGUGUAUCAAAGGUUGCUAUAAAGUUUUGAAUAUAUUUUUCAAGCUGAAAAACGGGUUUAUUCAAAAAAUAAAAAAGGAUACUGCAUGAAAAGUGAAAAUGACUAUUGGAAUUCAUGCACCUAACUUAGAGAAGAAAAAAUCAAGGAAGAACAAGACAACUAUUGAUGUAAAUGCACCUUUGUUACCUAAGACACAGGAAAGUGAUGUUAAGUUUGAUGAAUUUAAUGGAGCUUCAUUUUCUGGUGCUGUUUUCAAUUUAUCAACCACAAUUAUUGGUGCUGGAAUUAUGGGAUUGCCUGCAUGUGUGAAAAAGUUAGGGAUGGUGCCUGGUCUUAUUGUCAUAGUCCUAACAGCUUUAUUGACAGAGAAGUCAAUUGAUUUCAUAAUCAGGUUUUCUAGGGCAGGGAAACUUUCUUCCUAUGGAAAUCUUAUGGGAGAUGCCUAUGGGAAAUACGGAAAAGCGUCGUUGGAGAUAUGUGUUUUAACUACCAUCGGUAGUCUGAUCAUGUACAUGAUCAUUAUUGGUGAGACCAUAUUCUUAAGUCUAGACUUUUACUGUUAUCAUUAGAGAAGAAUUUAAGGUUGUAUAAUUCAAUUUUGUUUUUGUUCAUAUUGUAGGUGAUGUGAUUUCUGGAACAACUUCAAGUGGAAUUCACCAUGCUGGUGUCCUUGAAGGAUGGUUUGGUGUCCAUUGGUGGACCGGGCGUACAUUUGUUAUUACCUUCGCAACAUUUGUUGUGGUUGCACCUUUGGUCAGCUUUAAGCGGAUUGGUGAGUGAUAUUUCUUUUCUUGUAUUAAUUGGUUUGCAUAUAGAAACAUAUAGUUGUGUCAUUUACCGAAAUGGCUAUAGAUUAGAUGACCAUGUUAGGAAGAUGACUCAAAUGCGGGACGGUAAUUGUAUGGAUGAAAGUUUCCAUUUCAUCGUUUGUAAACUAAAAAAAAUGGUAAACAAGAUCAAUAAACAACUAGGUGGUACACAUGGUUAUUUGGAAUUGAUGCUUAUUUGAUACACAUGAUUAUUUGCCAAUACUCACUUUUUUCACUCAAGUACAAAUUGGUCUAUCUAUGAAAUCAAGUUUUGUUGCGAUGUUAUUUGGUUUGUGUCCAUGUAACACUUCUAUGACAAAUUUAGCUGUAUUCUCUGUGAUUAUUGCAGAUUCAUUGAGAUUCACGUCUGCAUUGUCAAUUGGAUUAGCAGUUCUUUUCCUUAUCAUUGCCGUAGGGAUCUCAAUUAUCAAGAUUAUUAGCGGCGGCAUUGGGAUGCCAAGACUCUUCCCGGUCAUUACUGAUGCAGCUUCAGUUUUCGAUCUAUUCACUGUAGUUCCUGUGCUGAUGACAGCAUAUGUAUGUCACUACAAUGGUAUCGAAUAGUUUGAAACCUUUCUCUUAAUGUUUUUAUUUCUCUCAGUAGACUUGUAUAAUUAUAAGUUGGUUAUGGAUUUGCAUGAAGAAGAUUAAGGUCUUCUGACUACUUAUUCCAUAAGCAUCACCUCAUUCUAUGUCCAACUAAUCUGAAAAGUAAGCAUACGUGUCAAUUUUUUAUGAGCUACAAAAUUGAUUUUCAGAUUAUUUUGGUUAAUUUCUGGUUGUGCAUCAUUAAUGAGUCAAAACACGGAACACUAAGGAAGUGUUUUUAUAUACUUGGUUGUUCAUUCUAUGUUACCAACACGACGAUUGAUAGUAUAAAUUUUUGGUUUAGGCUUGGUUUCUUAAUGUGGUUGUAUAAUCCACAAGCUGAUUCCACGUACUAAUAAACAUCGGCAACUAUUGCAAAAGUUUCGGUUAUGUGGGAGGAUGACAUCAAUGCAGUUAGCUAUAUAGAUCCACUUGUUUGCUUCAUAGAUUUAUUAUAUGGUGAUUACAGUGUGUGCUCUUUGUUUUCAGUUCAAAGCAUAGAGAAUGAACUGGAGGAUUCCUCACGGAUACGUGGGGUUGUGCGUACUUCCCUUACUCUAUGCUCUUCGGUGUACUUACUGACAAGCUUCUUUGGGUUCCUUCUAUUUGGUGAAGGAGUUCUUGAUGAUGUUCUUGCCAAUUUUGAUACUGAUCUUGGAAUUCCCUUCGGUUUUGCGCUCAAUGAUGCUGUUCGUUUGAGCUAUGCUGCGCAUCUUGUGCUUGUAUUUCCUGUAAUUUUCUAUGCGUUGAGGCUCAACGUAGAUGGUCUGAUAUUUUCCUCAUCAAGAAGGCCUUUGGUUGUUGAUAACUUAAGAUUUUCAUCAGUUACUAUUGCCUUUGUUCUUAUUAUCUUCCUCGGAGCAAAUUUCAUACCGAACAUUUGGGUUAUUUUCCAGUUCACUGGAGCAACAGGUGCUGUCUGUAUAGCAUUCAUAUUUCCAGCUGCAAUCGCUCU
RNAcentral lists this long non-coding RNA (5363 nucleotides) under Medicago truncatula (barrel medic). RNAcentral describes it as "long non-coding RNA (MTRU_LNC003865)". Lineage: Eukaryota; Viridiplantae; Streptophyta; Magnoliopsida; Fabales; Fabaceae. The record is from RNAcentral.